This 467-nucleotide ribosomal RNA is filed under the name uncultured bacterium. RNAcentral describes it as "partial 16S ribosomal RNA". It matches the Rfam family "Bacterial small subunit ribosomal RNA", at positions 28 to 507 of the family's 1533-position model. The record is from RNAcentral.
GACGAACGCUGGCGGCGUGCUUAACACAUGCAAGUCGAACGAUGACGACCGAACUUGCUCGGUCUGAUUAGUGGCGAACGGGUGAGUAACACGUGAGCAACCUGCCCUUCACUCUGGGAUAACCUCGGGAAAUCGGGGCUAAUACCGGAUAUGAGCUCCUGUCGCAUGGCGGGUGUUGGAAAGUUUUUCGGUGAAGGAUGGGCUCGCGGCCUAUCAGUUUGUUGGUGAGGUAGUGGCUCACCAAGGCGAUGACGGGUAGCCGGCCUGAGAGGGCGACCGGCCACGCUGGGACUGAGACACGGCCCAGACUCCUACGGGAGGCAGCAGUGGGGAAUAUUGCACAAUGGGCGAAAGCCUGAUGCAGCGACGCCGCGUGAGGGAUGACGGCCUUCGGGUUGUAAACCUCUUUCAGCAGGGAAGAAGCGAAAGUGACGGUACCUGCAGAAGAAGCGCCGGCUAACUACGUG